CGAGCGGCAGCACAGAGAACCUUGCUCCUUGGGUGGCGAGUGGCAGACGGGAGUGGAAUACGUCUGAAUCUACUUUUUCGUGGGGGAUAACGUAGGGAAACUUACCCUAAUACCGCAAACGACCUACAGGUGAAAGCAGGGGACCUUCGGGCCUUGCCCGAUUGAAUGAGCCGAUGUCGGAUUAUCUAGUUGGCGGGGUAAAGGCCCACCAGCGCGACAAUCCGUAGCUGGUCUGAGAAGAUGAUCAGCCACUCUGGAACUGAGACACUGUCCAGACUCCUACAGGACGCCGCAAUGGGGAAUAUUGGACUAUGGGCGCAAGCCUGAUCCACCCAUACCGCGUGGGUGAAGAAGGCCUUCGGGUUGUAAAGCCCUUUUGUUGGGAAAGAAAUCCAGCUCGCUAAUACCCGGUUGGGAUGACGGUACCCAAAGAAUAAGCACCGGCUAACUUCGUGCCAUCCGCCGCGGUAAUACGAGGGGUGCAAGCGUUACUCGCAAUUACUGGGCGUAAAGCGUGCGUAGGUGGUCCUUGUAGGUCUGUUGUGAAAGACCGUGGGCUCCACCUGCGCAACUGCAGUGGAUACUGUGGCAACUAGAGUGUCGUUAAGAUGGUAACGAGAAAUACCUGGAAGUACCAUGUUGAAAUGCGUAAAUAUCAAGAAGGAAC
RNAcentral lists this ribosomal RNA (667 nucleotides) under uncultured bacterium. RNAcentral describes it as "bacterial SSU rRNA". It matches the Rfam family "Bacterial small subunit ribosomal RNA", at positions 63 to 707 of the family's 1533-position model. The record is from RNAcentral.